CAAUAGCGUAUAUUAAAGUUGUUGCAGUUAAAAAGCUCGUAGUUGGAUUUCUGGUUGAAGCGACCGGUCGGGCGUUGAUUCGUCUGCACUGGAGUCGGUUUUGGCCAUCCUCUAGGAAAGUGCGUCUGGUAUUAAGUUAUCGGGCGUAUGAUCCAGGUCUUUUACUGUGAAAAAAUUAGAGUGUUUAAAGCAGGCCUUCGCCUUGAAUACAUUAGCAUGGAAUAAUAAGAUAGGACUUUGGUCUAUUUUGUUGGUUUGCAGACCGAAGUAAUGAUUAAUAGGGAUAGUUGGGGGUAUUUAUAUUCCGAUGUCAGAGGUGAAAUUCUUAGAUUUUCGGAAGAUAAACUUAUGCGAAAGCAUUUACCAAGGAUGUUUNCAUUA
Molecule: ribosomal RNA, 381 nt
Filed under: uncultured eukaryote
Lineage: Eukaryota
Description: partial 18S ribosomal RNA
Rfam family: Eukaryotic small subunit ribosomal RNA
Source: RNAcentral